Molecule: ribosomal RNA, 468 nt
Filed under: uncultured bacterium
Lineage: Bacteria
Description: partial 16S ribosomal RNA
Rfam family: Bacterial small subunit ribosomal RNA
Source: RNAcentral
GACGAACGCUGGCGGCGUGCCUAAUACAUGCAAGUCGAACGGACAGGCCCUGCUUUUGUGGGGUGCUCGAUUGGCGAACGGGUGAGUAACACGUGAGUAACCUGCCCUUGACUUUGUGAUAACUUCAGGAAACUCGGGAUAAUACCGGAUAGGAGCUCCUGCAGCAUGGGGUGGGUUGGAAAGUUUCGGCGUUUGGGGAUGGUCUCGCGGGUUAUCAGCUUGUUGGUGGAGUAGUGGCUUACCAAGGCUUUGACGGAUAGCCGGCCUGGGAGGUGGACCGGCCACCUGAGGCCUGAGAGACGGCCCAGACUCCUACGGGAGGCAACAGUGGGGAAUAUUGCAGAAUGGGCGGGAGCCAGAUGUAGCAGCCCCGCGUUCGGGAUGACGGCCUUCGGGUUGAAAACAGCUGUCGCCUGUGACGAAGAGUGAGUGACGGUAAUGGGUAAAGAAGCAACGGCUAACUACGUG